AUCAUCACUAGAUAUCAUCGCUAGAUAUCAUCAGCGAACUACAGAAUACAGUCUCCGGCAAUAAUUAUGUUAGAAUGCUGCUUUUACCCUACAAUUUACCCCUUUUUCACAUCUGCCCACUUUAUUGAGCAAUAUAGCGAUCAUGCCUUGGCCUCCAUAUUCUCCUGAUUUGAAUCCUAUAGAGAAUCUUUGGGCAUUGUUGAAGCAGAAGAUCUAUCAGCUGCAUCCAGAGCUGAAAUAUGCAGCAAAUACAGAAGCUACAAAAAG
Molecule: small RNA, 267 nt
Filed under: Histoplasma ohiense
Lineage: Eukaryota; Fungi; Ascomycota; Eurotiomycetes; Onygenales; Ajellomycetaceae
Description: hypothetical lncRNA
Source: RNAcentral